UGAGGACAGAGAAGGACAAGAAG
Molecule: unclassified non-coding RNA, 23 nt
Filed under: Mus musculus (house mouse)
Lineage: Eukaryota; Metazoa; Chordata; Mammalia; Rodentia; Muridae
Description: oocyte_clustered_small_RNA11906
Source: RNAcentral